AGAUUGAACGCUGGCGGCAGGCCUAACACAUGCAAGUCGAGCGGCAGCACGGGUACUUGUACCUGGUGGCGAGCGGCGGACGGGUGAGUAAUGCCUAGGAAUCUGCCUGAUAGUGGGGGAUAACGUUCGGAAAUGGACGCUAAUACCGCUAUACGUCCUACGGGAGAAAGUGGGGGAUCUUCGGACCUCACGCUAUCAGAUGAGCCUAGGUCGGAUUA
This 218-nucleotide ribosomal RNA is filed under the name uncultured soil bacterium. Its description in RNAcentral is "partial 16S ribosomal RNA". It matches the Rfam family "Bacterial small subunit ribosomal RNA", at positions 26 to 243 of the family's 1533-position model. The record is from RNAcentral.